CAGCAGCCGCGGUAAUACGGAGGGUGCAAGCGUUAAUCGGAAUUACUGGGCGUAAAGCGCACGCAGGCGGUCUGACAAGUCAGAUGUGAAAUCCCCGGGCUUAACCUGGGAACUGCAUUUGAAACUGUCAGGCUGGAGUCUUGUAGAGGGGGGUGGAAUUCCAGGUGUAGCGGUGAAAUGCGUAGAGAUCUGGAGGAAUACCGGUGGCGAAGGCGCCCCCCUGGACAAAGACUGACGCUCAGGUGCGAAAGCGUGGGGAGCAAACAGGAUUAGAUACCCCGGUAGUCCCUGUCUCUUAUAC
RNAcentral lists this ribosomal RNA (301 nucleotides) under uncultured bacterium. RNAcentral's name for it is "partial 16S ribosomal RNA". It matches the Rfam family "Bacterial small subunit ribosomal RNA", at positions 509 to 807 of the family's 1533-position model. The record is from RNAcentral.